AAAAGCUUGGUUUGGAUACAUAAAGUGGUGGAGAAUCACCAGGAAGUUGAAUAAAUCUCAUAGGAGUUGGAAUGAAGAAGUUAUCCCACUUUCAAAUCUGGUGAUUCCAGUUUCCCAGUUUGGGAAUAGCACAGCUUCUUCGUCGUUCCAAUCAAACCAGGAUGAAUCACUUUGUGAAAGUUUGAUUUGGAUACAUAAAGUGGUGGAGAAUCACCAGAAAGUUGAAUAAAUCUCAUAGGAGUUGGAAUGAAGAAGUUAUCCCACUUUCAAAUCAGGUGAUUCCAGUUUCCAAGUUUGGGAAUAGUAUAGCUUCUUCGUCGUUCCAAUCAAACCAGGAUGAAUCACUUUGUGAGAAGCUUGAUUUGAAUACAUAAAGUGGUGGAGAAUCACCAGGAAGU
RNAcentral lists this long non-coding RNA (398 nucleotides) under Brassica napus (rape). Its description in RNAcentral is "long non-coding RNA (BNAP_LNC002548)". Lineage: Eukaryota; Viridiplantae; Streptophyta; Magnoliopsida; Brassicales; Brassicaceae. The record is from RNAcentral.